Molecule: ribosomal RNA, 484 nt
Filed under: uncultured bacterium
Lineage: Bacteria
Description: partial 16S ribosomal RNA
Rfam family: Bacterial small subunit ribosomal RNA
Source: RNAcentral
AUUGAACGCUAGCGGGAUGCUUUACACAUGCAAGUCGAACGGCAGCGCGGACUUCGGUCUGGCGGCGAGUGGCGAACGGGUGAGUAAUGUAUCGGAACGUGCCCAGUAGCGGGGGAUAACUACGCGAAAGCGUAGCUAAUACCGCAUACGCCCUACGGGGGAAAGCAGGGGAUCGUAAGGCCUUGCACUAUUGGAGCGGCCGAUAUCGGAUUAGCUAGUUGGUGAGGUAACGGCUCACCAAGGCGACGAUCCGGAGCUGGUUUGAGAGGACGACCAGCCACACUGGGACUGAGCCACGGCCCAGACUCCUACGGGAGGCAGCAGUGGGGAAUUUUGGACAAUGGGGGCAACCCUGAUCCAGCCAUCCCGCGUGUGAGAUGAAGGCCUUCGGGUUGUAAAGCACUUUUGGCAGGAAAGAAACGUCGCGGGCUAAUACCCCGUGGAACUGACGGUACCUGCAGAAUAAGCACCGGCUAACUACGUG